RNAcentral lists this non-coding RNA (24 nucleotides) under Arabidopsis thaliana (thale cress). The record is from RNAcentral. Lineage: Eukaryota; Viridiplantae; Streptophyta; Magnoliopsida; Brassicales; Brassicaceae.
UCUGUCAGCUAGGAUGAGGGAUAU